This is a long non-coding RNA of Neofelis nebulosa (Clouded leopard), 764 nucleotides long. RefSeq lists it as uncharacterized. NCBI's taxonomy places the organism in Eukaryota, Metazoa, Chordata, Mammalia, Carnivora, Felidae. The record is from RefSeq and is a predicted model, not a curated record. The transcript has 3 exons.
GAGUAAACCAGCUGUGAGCCAAGAACGCAGCUUGGAGCAGGAAUACAAGCCAACACCCAGCACAAACAAGGGGCAACAAUUAAACUGCCAGGCUGAAAACUGGAGAAGUGUGUCAGCAAAGACUUUUCUGAGGAGGUCACAUUUGAGAGACAUCUACGGACAUGAAGCUGCCAGCCACUGGAAAAGCUGGGUAGAGAGCAUUCCAGGCAGAGAGGACUGCAAGUGCAACAUCUCUAAGAAUCAACCAUAGACCAAGCACAGAAAAUGUUACAGUUACAAAAUAGAAAGUCAGCAUGAUAAGUCCUGAGCAUAUGAAAGUAAACCAGGUAUUAGAAAUUGGGAGGUAGAAAUGGAAUGGACUCCUGAGGAAAAGAAUAGGGCUUACCCUCCUUUUACAGAAUGGGAAACAAAGUUUCAUCAUACAGUGGCAUAAAUAAGACAUAAAAAGUGUAAAAGUUUUAAAUAUGACCAAACAAAAGUAGUAAGGAUAGUAACAUAAUUUAUAUUGGGAAUAUAUAAGGAGAAAGGUGUUAGGGGAGGAAUAAGUGAGCUACAUCCUCAGCUGUCAUAGAAGAAAAUCAAUUAAUAAUGUCUAUUAUUGGGGCACCUGGGUGGCUCAGUCAGUUGAAUGUCUGACUUCAGCUCAGGUCAUGAUCUCAUGGUUUGUGAGUUCUAGCCCAACUUCGGACUCUGUGCUGACAGCUCAGAGCCUGGAGCCUGUUUCAGAUUCUGUGUCUGUCUCUCUCUGUUCCUCCCCCGCUGGU